This 167-nucleotide ribosomal RNA is filed under the name Cypripedium wumengense. Its description in RNAcentral is "5.8S ribosomal RNA". The stretch from base 1 to 110 matches the Rfam family "5.8S ribosomal RNA", at positions 47 to 154 of the family's 154-position model. From Rfam's summary of the family: 5.8S ribosomal RNA (5.8S rRNA) is a component of the large subunit of the eukaryotic ribosome. The record is from RNAcentral. Lineage: Eukaryota; Viridiplantae; Streptophyta; Magnoliopsida; Asparagales; Orchidaceae.
AGCGAAAUGUGAUAAGUGGUGUGAAUUGCAGAAUCCCGUGAACCAUCGAGUCUUUGAACGCAAGUUGCGCCCGAGGCCAUCAGGCUAAGGGCACGCCUGCCUGGGCGUCGUAUGUUUUAUCUCUCCUUCCAAUGCUUGUCCAGCAUAUAGCUAGGCCAUCAUUGUGU